This 399-nucleotide ribosomal RNA is filed under the name uncultured bacterium. RNAcentral describes it as "partial 16S ribosomal RNA". It matches the Rfam family "Bacterial small subunit ribosomal RNA", at positions 338 to 754 of the family's 1533-position model. The record is from RNAcentral.
CCUACGGGAGGCAGCAGUAGGGAAUAGUGCUCAAUGGGGGAAACCCUGAAGCAGCAACGCCGCGGGGAGGAUGAAGGUUUUCGGAGUGUAAACUCCUGUUGUUAGAGAAGAGAAGGACGGUAGCUAACGAAUAAGCACCGGCUAACUCCGUGCCCGCAGCCGCGGUAAUACGGAGGGGGCAAGCGUUACUCGGAAUCACUGGGCGUAAAGAGCGCGUAGGCGGGAUAGCAAGUCAGAUGUUAAAUCCUAGGGCUUAACACUAGAACUGCAUUUGAAACUGUUAUUCUAGAGUAUGGGAGAGGUCGGUGGAAUUCUUGUUGUAGGGGUCACAUCCGUAGAGAUCACGAGGAAUACUCAUUGCGCCUGCGACCUGCUAGACCAUACCUGACGCUGAUGCGC